This 45-nucleotide non-coding RNA is filed under the name Schistosoma curassoni. Lineage: Eukaryota; Metazoa; Platyhelminthes; Trematoda; Strigeidida; Schistosomatidae. The record is from RNAcentral.
AUCCAAAUGAAGAGUCUCACCUAGGAAGAAACGUGCGUCCUGGAU